CCUACGGGAGGCAGCAGUGAGGAAUAUUGGUCAAUGGGCGCGAGCCUGAACCAGCCAAGUAGCGUGAAGGAGGACUGCCCUACGGGUUGUAAACUGCUUUUAUAAAGGAAUAAAGUGAGGCACGUGUGCCGUUUUGUAUGUACUUUAUGAAUAAGGAUCGGCUAACUCCGUGCCAGCAGCCGCGGUAAUACGGAGGAUCCGAGCGUUAUCCGGAUUUAUUGGGGUUAAAGGGAGCGUAGAUGGGUUGUUAAGUCAGUUGUUAAAGUUUGCGGCUCACCCGUAAAAUUGCAAUUGAUACUGGCAGCCUUGAGUACAUUUGCGGUAGGCGGCAUUCGUGGUGUAGCGGUUA
This 349-nucleotide ribosomal RNA is filed under the name uncultured bacterium. RNAcentral describes it as "partial 16S ribosomal RNA". It matches the Rfam family "Bacterial small subunit ribosomal RNA", at positions 338 to 684 of the family's 1533-position model. The record is from RNAcentral.